Molecule: ribosomal RNA, 406 nt
Filed under: uncultured bacterium
Lineage: Bacteria
Description: partial 16S ribosomal RNA
Rfam family: Bacterial small subunit ribosomal RNA
Source: RNAcentral
AUUGAACGCUGGCGGCAGGCCUAACACAUGCAAGUCGAGCGAGCGGCGGACGGGUGAGUAAUGUCUGGGAAACUGCCUGAUGGAGGGGGAUAACUACUGGAAACGGUAGCUAAUACCGCAUACCAUCAGAUGUGCCCAGAUGGGAUUAGCUAGUAGGUGGGGUAACGGCUCACCUAGGCGACGAUCCCUAGCUGGUCUGAGAGGAUGACCAGCCACACUGGAACUGAGAAAGGGUCCAGACCCCUACGGGAGGCAGAAGUGGGGAAUAUUGCACAAUGGGCGCAAGCCUGAGGCAGCCAUGCCGCGUGUGUGAAGAAGGCCUUAGGGUUGUAAAGCACUUUCAGCGGGGAGGCGUUACCCGCAGAAGAAGCACCGGCUAACUCCGUGCCAGCAGCCGCGGUAAUAC